CCAAUAGCGUAUAUUAAAGUUGUUGCAGUUAAAAAGCUCGUAGUUGAACUUCGGGAUUCACCCAUUGGUCAGGCUUAAUUGUCUGUACUGGUGAGAUGAGUCUCUACCUUCUGAGGAACUUUCAUGCCAUUUGUUUGGUGUGAUUGGAAAUCAGGACUGUUACUUUGAAAAAAUUAGAGUGUUUAAAGCAGGCUAACGUCUGAAUACAUUAGCAUGGAAUAAUGAAAUAGGACGGAUUGAUUCUAUUUCGUUGGUUUCUAGGGUCACCGUAAUGAUUAAUAGGGAUAGUUGGGGGCAUUAGUAUUCAAUUGUCAGAGGUGAAAUUCUUGGAUUUAUUGAAGACUAACUACUGCGAAAGCAUUUGCCAAGGAUGUUUUCAUUAAUCAAGAACGAAAGUUAGGGGAUCGAAGACGAUCAGAUACCGUCGUAGUCUUAACCAUAAACUAUGCCGACUAGGAAUCAGACGAUGUUAAUUUUUUAAUGACUCGUUUGGCACCUUACG
RNAcentral lists this ribosomal RNA (502 nucleotides) under uncultured Glomeromycotina. Its description in RNAcentral is "SSU rRNA". It matches the Rfam family "Eukaryotic small subunit ribosomal RNA", at positions 591 to 1092 of the family's 1831-position model. The record is from RNAcentral. Lineage: Eukaryota; Fungi; Glomeromycota.